UUUCCGUAGGUGAACCUGCGGAAGGAUCAUUACAUUCAGUAGCCCAGCUACUUGUUUACACCCUUGUUUUUUUUUUGCGUACCUAACGUUUCCUCGGCGGGCUUGCCUGCCGGUUGGACAACUUUUAAGCCUUUUUAAAUCUUCAAUCAGUGUCUGAAUAAUAUACAAUAAUUACAACUUUCAACAACGGAUCUCUUGGUUCUGGCAUCGAUGAAGAACGCAGC
Molecule: unclassified non-coding RNA, 224 nt
Filed under: uncultured fungus
Lineage: Eukaryota; Fungi
Description: sequence contains ITS1, 5.8S rRNA gene
Rfam family: 5.8S ribosomal RNA (bases 176-224)
Source: RNAcentral